UUGAAUUGUGCAUUUGUUAUUGUUCAUUGUCUAGUGCUUGUAUUGAUGGUGUCAGUGCUCCACCCACAAAGGGGUGGAGCCAGGAUGUGAUGUAAUGGCAGGAAGAAGGUGUGUCUUGCUCUUUGCUGGUUCCUGCUUGUUGUUUGCAGCUGCCAUGAACUUCGGCCCAGCCGUGCCCGCCUGCCUUGGAGCCAACUGAGUGUGGACUGAAACCUCCAAAAACUGAUAGAUGAGAGGAAAAUUAUAGGUAAAUGAAGACUGUGAUGGGACUGUGAAAUUCUUCUUGUUAAUUCUUGUUACCUGAUGCCAAAGAAUUAUAUUUUGUCAAAUUACCUAUUCCAAUGUCAGCUUCUCCAUUUUGAAUUAUAAUUUCUUCACAAGGGCCUCUUGAUUGUUACGUAUCUGAAUUUUUCAAUCUGUUAGCAGAAAUUUAAAACAUGUAAUUUUAGUUCUGUAUCCAAAUCUUUGAUGCAUCUGAAAUUAAUCCAAUGUAAAAAGUCAAUCUUAUUCCUAUAAUUUUUUCAAAAGAAAGACUACCAAGCUUUCCCCUGGGGAUUUGAAUUGCCACUUCUAUCUAAUCCAAAUGAUGAAGGCCUUUUAUUCUCUUUUUGCUCUUUCUAUCAUGUUGUUAUGACUAUUUUUAUUCAUAUACUAUGAUCUAGAGCUAAUCUUUGGAGUCUUUCAGCAGAGCUCCAGUGAAAUUUUGAUUUCUAAGGGGCCAGUGAUCCCUUAAGGGUUUGAUGGGCGUGCAGUCUGAGAUGAAGAAAACCAGUCUUUCUUCCUCUUUGCUAUAUUUUGGGAGAGAGCCUAUUUCAAGGAUAUCUGGGAUAAGGUAAGAGAUGUGGAAGUAAGAAACAGAGUGGGGAAUGUGUUUGUAAGUGGAUUUGGGAGUUUCCACCCCCAGUAGAAAGAGAUUGGGCAAAAGUGUAAACAAUUGUCUUUAAAAAGACGGUGAGAAUCUAAAAGCACAUAUUGUUUCCCAUGAAAUUUGUAAGAUAAAUUACUAGAUGAAGUCAAAAGCAGGGCCAUUUUAUUCCAACUUUUCCAGAAGUCCUGAUUUGUCAUAGGAUAAUUCACCUUGCUGAUAGUUUGGAGUAACUCCCUAGGAUUCCUCCCAGGACGUAGACAAGCAGUAAACACAAAGUCUAAGCAGGCAGUGAUUCUUUUAUCAAAUUCUACACUUAAUAAAAGUAGAUUUGUUUCAGAAAACUUGUUUAAUUUUUUCCUCCAUUGUUGCAGCUUCCUCCCUAGUCUUAGAAAAAUAAUGAGACACAAAGCAUGACAUCUGUGAAGUUGAAAUGGACAUUUAGCUGAAGUUAAUUUGAUGUCUUAGUGUUUCCUAGCUAGAGGGCAUAAAUUAAGAAUCAGUAUCCUUAAUUUCAUCACCUGCUUGGUAAUAAAAUACUCAUUUUAAAGAAGUUUGAACUGGGGGCUGGGGAUUUCGCUCAGCAGCGUAAGUACCUGCCUUGCAAGCAGACGGUUGUGAGUUCGAUCCCCGGUACCCAUAAAAAAAAAGAAAAAAGGAAAAAAAAAAAAAAAAAAGAAGUUUUAAUUGAAGUAUGCAAAAAAGGAAGUUCGAUAUAUUUUGAAAUUUCUUUUUAAAAAAUUAGUAAAGAACUCUAAUAGCAAAAUAAUGGAUGAACAUUUUUUGAUAACUUAAAAGUUUGAUAUUGGAGUUGAGAACUUAAUUGUACUCUUUUUACCAACAUUUUACAUUUGGAAUUUUUCUUCGUAAAAUUCUCCUUCAAAUUUAUAAUUUAAAAAGUUCUCAGAUCCAAAAAUAGCACACCAAAUAAGAUACAAAUAUAUAGAUGAUCCUUUCCAAGGGGAGGUAUUACAGUAUUGUUCAAUUUUCAAGCGUAAGAAAAACGUGCAUUGAAAUGCUCUCUCUGCUUAGCCUCAGGGGAAUCACUGCUUUGUGUCUUAAGAUCUGUCUGCAUAGCCACGCAGACGUGCAGACAUUAGGCUGUGCUUUUUUGGCGACACUGCCUGAUAUGUGAGCUAGAAAACAUAGGGAUGUCUUUGUGUGAUGCUUUUCAAAUUGAUCUAAAGUUUUGAAAUAGUUCAGCUUCUAAACUAUCUUCUUUAGUUCAAGACUAAAGAAAAUUUUCUUUUAUUGCUAUAGAUGAACGGCGAAGAAGUUUAAAGUCAAAUAGAGAGUUUCCAAGAGCUUAACAAAAGUUAAAAUCUUGUGUGCUUUCUAUAAUCACCACUUUUAGAUGUGUUUUAUUUUCAUUUUCUUUGAAGAAGCAAGAAAUGAAUUGUGCAAAGAUUUAUGCCAUUUAAUGUCACAGUUGAUUACCAACGGAAAUUGGAAGAAUGCAAUUUUUAUUACUUUAUGUAAAAGAAAGCUAUAUUUCAGAAUGAAAUGAGAUUGGUUAGAUGGACAGAUUUAAUUUUUAAGAAUGUAUGUUAUCUUGAAGGAUAUAUUUGUAUAAAUUGAGAAAGUUAAUUCUAAAUUAUUUGAAUUACGUGAUUCAUCUGACCUGGUAAUAGUCAUAUUUUAUUGUAAAUAUAACAUUAAACAAGCUUUUCUUGUAUUAUGUUUCUGAUUUUUAUGUUUGUUAUGAUGUCCUAAAUAUUAAAAAGUACAUAAGAUACUGUAAUGUUUAUUAAUAUAGUGAAUUAAGUAUCUAUUAUUUGGCAUUUGUUGUUCACAUUCCAUAAUGUCCAGCAUAAUAGACAUUAAAUGUUUAUUAACCUCCUAUAAAUUAUACUCAUUUAUUAAUGCUGAUGAAUGUAUACACAUUCUUUUAUCUUUCAUAGAGCGAUUGUCUUAUGAAGUUAAUUAUUCUCAUGUUAAUAGCAGACUUCUUGUGACUGUUAUCUCAAAAAAAUUUUUAAAAAAUGCACAUAUGUCCUAUUUUUCCUUCUCUAUUUCCUCCAGAUCAUAUAACAACUUUAAGUAUUUUCAAGUGUUUAGUAUGAACUAGACACACUGCAAAUAUUACACAUGAGCUUGAUUUACAAAAGAGUUUAUAUAGUAUGAGGAAGGAGUUGUUGAAUUAUUUGAUGUUCCUUAAAUAUCAUAUAAUUUUGUAUAUAAUUGCUUGUUUUAAAUAUAUUUAUAUAUUUAGACCACUUGACAAACUGUUCUUCAUCAUUCCAAAUCAAUUACAUGGUGAUUAAAUAUCAAUCUUUCUUUUUUCUAAAGUAGCCUAUGAGUUUCACUGAUUGGAUAAUGUAGUUACAUUUCCUAGCAAGCACAUACCAUCUCUCUAGCCAGGUAUAAAAUAUGUUUUUCUUUCUUUCUUUCUUUCUUUCUUUCUUUCUUUCUUUCUUUCUUUCUCUUUCUUUCUUUCUUUCUUUCUUUCUUUCUUUCUUUCUUUCUUCCUUCCUUCCUUCCUUCCUUCCUUCCUUCUUUCCUUCCUUUCUUUUGUAAAUUGGAUGAUACAUGUGUCAUCUGAUUGCUCUAAUUCACAAUAAAAUAGGCUGCUUUAAUAUUGUACAAUUUCCACAUUAUUAAAAUAACGUGCUUAUUUAAAAUGCACUUAUUUAAUUGGAAAAUAAAGAAAAUAUAAAAUCAAAUAUCUAGAUUUCACAUACAGAAAGGAUACAUAUAGUAACUUAACCAGGAAUUAAUUUAAUUUUCUCCUGUAACACAAAGAACAUCAGGGCUGAGAAAUAUGUAGCCAUGAUUUGAUUUCCAAAAAAUAGUUUUAUCAUCCUUUUCCAACAUCCUUACAAGAAUACUGCUACCUACAAUGCUACAAACACGUCUGAGGUACAGAGGGGCAGAAGGAAGGGAAAAAAAAUGAAAAACAAAAGUAGACUUGUGCUAGCUAUAUGGUACUUUUUAGCUUCAUUGUUGUUGGGAAUUUGUUUUAAAAUAUCAACUGCUUGUUGAAAGUGUUAUUAA
Long non-coding RNA from Cavia porcellus (domestic guinea pig), 3859 nucleotides. RefSeq lists it as uncharacterized. Lineage: Eukaryota; Metazoa; Chordata; Mammalia; Rodentia; Caviidae. The record is from RefSeq and is a predicted model, not a curated record. The transcript is spliced from 5 exons.